UGAAAUAGUUAUAUAAAUAUUUAAGUAUAUGAUUAACAUUAAAAAUAUAUACCACUUAUGUUCUAAAACAAUAAUUUAUUUAUAAAAAAGUGAAAACAAACACCCGUGCGGUUGCACGGGUCAAAAUCUAGUUUCUGUUAAGUUAAAAACUUUGAACAUACAAAUAAAUUUAUUAUUAGAAAAUUAUUUAUCGCCCACCGUAUAAUACGGUUUUGACUGAGCUACAUCAUUUUGCCUUCCGAAUAGUAACAACACAACAUAUUUGGUAAUAUAAAUGGUACAAAAUAAAAAUGAGAUACGGUCCAACAACGGUUGAUACAAUAUGCGAAAUAGUGCGGUUUUCAUAAAAAAAAAUUAUUAUUUUGAUAACAAAAGAAGUAUGGUUUUGAUAGAAAAAUAAUGCUAAAUAAAUAUAUUAAUACAGUUAACAAUUAAAUAUUUUUUAGUUAUAAUGUCAUAAUAUUUUUUUAUAAUUUUGAAUAUUAAAUUAACUUGAAAUAAACAUUCAAAUUAUAUAUAUAUAUAUAUAUAUAUAUUUCUGUAUAUAGUCUUAACUACUAAAGUUCAGUUAAAAAAAUAAUUAAAUUUUAAAAAUAAUUUAAAAAGUGUUAAAUAACAAAAUACUGUAAUACAAGAAAAAAGAACACAAUACAACACAAACUUAAAAAGUAAAUAGUUUUGUAAAAUAAAUUCAUAUUUUAAAUUAAAUAGAAAAAUAAUAGUUUAAAACACAUACAAAUAAGAACUUAGUUGCUAAACAUUUAUAUAAAUGUGCGAAAUUCAAAUAAAAUAACAUAAUGUUUACUAAUAACAGGCACAAAAUAUAUAAUAUAGAUAAACCAAUGAUAGCAUUUUUAAUAUUUCCUUAUAUCUAUUUCCAAGCAUACAUUUAUGGAAUGGUCACUAUCUGAACACAUGGUACUAAAUAAAUUACUACUGUAUAUGAUACUGGUAUGUUGGACUAAUUGAUAGCUGGAAAUAAUUAUGGAAAUGGUUGACAAAAUUAUAUAUCGGAAUAAAAAAAUUAGCGGAAUAUGACAUUAUCAUUUAAUUUAAAAUGGCGGUAUCAUAUUAGAUUAAUUAAUGGAAUUUCCUUACAAAAGUCAAGCAAUUUGCAAUUUAAAUAUAUUUUUGUACACUGAAUGUUUUCGUAUCAGCUUUUGUUGGUCAACUCUUUUCUUAAAGAAACUUCAGCUGGAGUGAAGAAUCAGCCGAAACUAGAAAAGUAAUUAAUAUUUAGUUAGAAUUGCAUGAAAUUUGAGAAUAAGUGAUGCUUUCGGCAUAGUGUUUAACUCCUUAAUGGUAUUGAAAAGGUGCAUAGUGUUUGUUUGUUCAUAGGACAAAAGGCCAAAUUAAAGCCAUUAUAAGUUUAUGCGUUUUCGUUACGGUAAUGAAACUAGUCUGAUUUUUAUAAUCUAAUAGAGUCUUUUUUUUAACACUUUAAUUUAAUACAAAGUAGUCAGUGGACUUUAUAUCUGCAUCACCAUGUUUUCUGAUUCUUCGUUCAAAUUUGUUUAGGAACAUAUAAAUAUAGUCCGUGAUUUUAUGGUUGACUGGUAAAAAAUGGGUAUGGGUGUCAAUUCAUUUAAGGUUCCAUCCAUCUGAUAGCGCUAAAUUAAGUUACAUUAAUACUGAACACAAACACCAGUACCCAAAAAAAAGUAUAUCUGUAAAAUUUACCUCUUUUUAGAAAUUAGUUUCAACUCUCUCAUAGGUUUAAAAUACCCUCAAUUGUUUUUUAAGAAAACAAAAGAAUAUAUAAAUAUAACAAAACAUUACAUAACGUUGACAAAAAAAAACAUUAUAUAAAUACAAAGGUGCAAUAUUUUCUCAAGAAAUUACUAGGGUUCUAAUUGUUUGUUAUGAUUAGGUAAAAGAUCAUGGUAGGCAUGCAGGUUGUGUUUUUUCGGUUUUGUAGGGAUCGGUUAAUUCGAAUUCGGUUAGUUCAGGACUAUUGAAAUCUCACCGAAGUAAACUGAAAAAAUUAACUUUGGUUUUCGGUUUCAAAAUUUCUACCAAAGUUUAUGGUUUUCGAUUCAUUUUUUUAUUUAAAUUGAAUAAAAUUCGUAACUUUUUGAUUAAGUUUGGUUAUUUCGGUUAGUUUGGUUAGUUUGGUUCGGGUUUUGGUUAAGAAUUAUAUUGUCUAAAAAACAUUUUUUUAGAAAACUGAAUUAACUGAUUACCAAAUCAAACCAAAAACCAAAUUUAUUUUUAGUUUCCAAACUGAAUCAAACUUUCUAACCGAACUAAACCGAAAACCAAACUUUUUGGUUCAGUUUGUAUCGGCAGGUUUGGUUCGGUUUAUAACUGUAGGCCUAGAACAUGGCUGAAACAAUUAUCUUGGUUCUUUCUUAGUUUCAGUUAAUUAGGGUAAAAGAGGUAAAAAAAAAUCAGUAUAUUUACUGAAAAUAUGGAAGACCAAUGAAAUAAAGUAUUUUCAUCUACUUCGAACCAAGAUAAUUUACUUCAGAAAAGAGGACUGGAAAAUAAUUGAAUUCUGAAUAUAUAUAUAUAUAUAUUAUUAAACUGAGUGUUUUGCCCGCAUAUGCGGACAUAAUUAUUUUAUAGAUAUUUAUAAAUAAAUAUAAUUAUUUUAUAGAUAUUUAUAAAUAAAUUUACUGUUAGUUUAAAGAUAAAAAUAUUGGAAUAAAAUAUUAAAUUUAUACUAUUUUAUGAAUCUUUCAUUUCUUAAUUUUUAACCUUUAUUGAUUUAAAACAUUAUUUUGGAUAACAACACUAGUAUUUUAUAUUUUAAAACAUGUUGUUACUUUUAACCAUUUUUAUUAUAUUAAUUUAUAAACAAUCAUCUAAUUAAAUAAACAAAUAUUUAAUUGUUAAUAUAAAAAUAUAUUAUUAAACCAAAUUCUUGGAAUUAUCAAAACCUACAAAAUCUUAAAAUAAAUAAAAACCACACAAAUGUUAGACCGAACCCAACUUUACAUAUUUGAUUAAUCAAAAUAAAUAAAUUAUUGAUAUAUGCAUAAUUAUAUUUUAAAAUACCUCCCAUAAUAACUGAAAAAACAAAAAACAGACCAACCAUGUUGACAACGAAAAUAUUAAUACGUAACAUAUAAGAUAAGAACACUUCCUAUAUAUUACCAUUUUCAUUUCUAAAUGCUAAAAUAGAGAAAAUUAAGCUAUAGUCAAUCUAUACAUUUUUAUUUUAAAAUAGACAAUAUUUUUCUAUAAAAUAGCAUUUCUUUAUUAUAAAAUCAUCAUUUGUUAUUUUAAAAUGAUCUUAUAACUUUCAAACUUUGAUAAUUAUAACUAAAACAAAUCAUUUUGGAAAAUACAGUUUUCAUAAAAAAAAUAGAAUCACAUUUUUCUUUACAUAAUAGUCUUUUAAAGAAAUUUUAAUAUAAACAAAGUUAUAAUUCAGUGAAACUUAAAAAAAUUAAAAUUAAAAUAUAGUUAAUUUUAAAUUUUUAUAAAUAUAAGUUACUUGUUGUAAAUAAAAAAGGUUAUAUUUUGAAAAUAUUCUCUUUUGUAGUAAUAUAUUUUGAAAAUAUUUUUAAAAAGAUAAUUCCAUUCCAAAUAAAAUAUUAAGAAAAUAGAAAAAACAAUAAUAAUUUUUUAAAGUUAAAUAAAAAAUACAUGUUAUCCUGAAUAAUAAGAAUAAAAACAAAAUACCACGAAACAAAUUACGUUAGCAGAAAAAAAGAAAUUAAAUUUAUUGUUAUUGUUUAUAUAUGUCGCUUAAGAAUUUUAACACUACAAUAAAACUUAAUAGUUUUUAAAAAUAUUUCAUGAUAUAUUAUGUUUACAAACAAAUAUAAUUUAUUUUAUAAUCCUAUUUUUAAUGUUUUAGUAUAACGAUAAAUUUAAUUAUUAUAUGAGUAUAUAUACUACUAAUUAUAAAUAUUAACAAAUAAGAGAGAAAGAUGUAAAUAAACACUAAAUAAAUGCAUGAAAUUAUCUUUUAUAUUUUCAAACACAUUUCAAUUUAUUUUUUGAGAUAAUGUUUAAAAUAUUAAUUUUUUAUUAGUUAAAUAAUGAACUAUAUAAUUUGUAAUUGAAUAUGUCAAAACUUUAAUCAAUCUAAUUAAUUUUGUUUUGUAUAGAUAAGUUAAUUGUAAUUAUAAUAUGUCUAUCAAUUAAUUUAAACUGUAAUUUAAGAUUAUCAUAAAAGCUAAUAUUUAAGCUAAUAUGUCUAUUUCUUAAUUUUAAUUACAAUUUGUCUCUUAAAUUUUUAUAAAUUAAUUAUUAAUCAAAUAUUUAAUUUUUGGUAAGCUAAAAUAUAUAUAAAAAGUGCAGUAGUUAAUCAGAUAACUUUUGUUUCAGAAAAUUUGUAUAAAUGUUAAAUUCAAUAAUCCAAGAUUCUAUGAAAAAACAUCUUAGAUCACCAAUUCAACCCCUUUUACUUUAUUUUCUGUUAUUUUCUUCUUCUCUACGCUUUUACACAACCAAAAACACUCUUAGGCUAAGAAAAUUGGGUAUGUCAAGAAAUUACAGUGGUUACGAAACAUUGAAUGUGUAUAAAAAUUUCAAACGUGUUGCGUGUCACGGAAAAUAAAGUACCGUGAAUGGGAGCUUUACAUUAAUUAAGAGUAUUAAUUUGUUACUAGAGCUUAAUCCGUGCAUCCGCGGAUAUUUGUUUUCUUUUAAAUAAAUAUUUAUCUGUACAAGUGAUAAUAUAUAUUUUAAAAUAUAUACAUUUAAGUAAUUGUUUAAUAUGACAUUUCAAAACAUAAUAAUUUUAUAGUUGAUAUUAUGAUAUCAUCCAUAUUAUUAGAACGUGACUCGUUUAUCCGCACAAAUGUAGUUUUAUUUUUUUUGAAACCGUGCAACAGCAGGAGUAUUUAUUUUCGCUUUUUAUAAUUAAAUUAUUGCUUUCAGAAUUUUCUAAUAUAUAUUUAUAAUUUACACAUAUUAUAUAAUGGUUUUAAAAUGAAAAUUUAAAACAUAAAAUUUUAUUUAUCACAUAAAUAAUUAUAUUUUGUUUUCUACCAUCAACUAUAUCAUCUAUAUUUCUUAUCAUAUUUAUUUUAGCCUAUUUAUAGAUAAUUGAAUUUUUAUUUAUGUUAAAUCACUAAAACUGUUAAAAUCUCACUCAAAUUUUGUGAUCCAUGGUUUAGAAUUUUUUUGAUGACAAGAUACAAAUGAUUACAAAAUCAUAGAAGUAAAAAAUCUCAUUAAACUAUAUGCAAUUUUAAAUACAUAAAUAUUUUAAUUUCAAAAAUUUCUUUAAAUAAGUUGUUGAUAAAAGCUUUGAGUAAAUAUUGAUAACUUAAUUUAAAAAAAAUUACCCAAACUAUUAAUCCCACAUAUUUUUUAUCAAUAAUUAAAAGUUUUGCUAUAAAAGAUACAAAUGAACAAAAAAAACCAUAUGAGUAGAAAACAUCAUUUUAUAGAUAUUAAUAUUAAAAAUAUACUGUAUAUAUGUUAAUAUCAUUCAAAUUUAAUUAAAUAUCAUAUCAAAUAGAAACAAUAUUGUUUGAAUUAAUAAAAUUUAUUUAUAUGUGGCCACCAAUUUAAUUAUAUACGUAAUAAUUACUGAAUUUUUAAUUAUUUAAUAUAUAUUUAUUAUUUUAUAAUAUGUAAAAACAUAUAAUACAUAAAAUAAUAUAUAUAUAAUUUUUAUCAUGCGCAUGGCGCGGGUCUUAACCUAGUAUUACUAGUAGUUAAGCACAUUCAACAAAUUUUUUUGUGUAUAUUGAAAAUCAACUGUUUAUAUGAUGAAUUUUUUUUUUGUCGACCUGAUGAAAACUAUAUUAACCUAGAGUAGUCUAAAGGAAAUUGCAGAUUUCAACAUGAAUGAUUUUUACUGGACAUUUUUAUAUUUUAAUUUUUUUACCUUUUCAAUUUAGUAUUAACUAUCUUUUUAAGAAACAAACUAACUAUUAAAUUUAAACUGAAAUCAUUGUUAACUAAAUUUAUACUGAUAUAUAUAUAUAUAUAGUUUCUUUCUUGAAUCGGAUACCACCACUAAACAUGUGGUAAAACUAAAUUAAUAUUACUUGGCCAGUCUGGAUUCGGACUUCAGCCCAAGUGGUUAACAUGGUGGAUCAUGAUAGAUGAUAGUCCACCCCUGGCAUUAGUAGGAAUAUAUUUCAGUGUGGUAACCAGUCCACUAUGUAGCACUAAAUAUAUUUUUCCCAGGGCCGACCGAAUCUGCCGAUAGUAUAUAUUAAAAAUAUAUGUGGCAGAAACUACGUACUAAUUUCUGUUAAUUUAUCAGAAACUACACAUAUGGGAUCUGAACAAAAAAAAACUAUAUAUGUAACAUCUUGACCAACCUUAUUUUGGUAAUUGAUUUAAAUUAGAUAGUUAAUAAUAUAAUUUAUACGAAAUAAAAUUUUAACUAGAUUAAAAUUAUGAGUGAUGUAAAAUUGCGAUAUACAAAAAUGUGGCAAAAUAAGGCGAAGCGCACUAACUCUACCAAUUUUUUUUUAAAAGAACCUAAUUUAUCUUUCGCCAUUUUCUGCAAAGCUCUGCCUCCGUCCCUUGUUCCGGUGACCACCGCGUCCUAUGCGGUCAUUGUAGGUCAGAUAUGGUGUCUCCACUCUUCUUGGUUCAGAUCUGGUGCUCCCGGCGUAGAUCUAGGAGACUCUCGGUGUUGUGGGCGACGCUUGAAGACGGUGAUGGCUCAUCGCUCUUGUCUCCUCCUCUCGUUUGGAGUCUCAGUUUGGUAAGGAAUUUUAUAGAUCUCGUCUAGCUUCUUUAGGUUAGGUGGCGCUGAUAACAUUUGAGAAUAAGAGAGAUUUGUGUUUUAGAAGAACUUAUUGAGACACAAACUAAAGAGAGAAAGACAUAGCUCAAAGAGCUUUAUUGUGCAAAGAAAUAAAGAAAGGGAGAAGCUUUGUGUUUGUCUUCAAGAACUAAAACAAAUGUUUGAUUUCAUAAAGUCUUUAAUGGAGGCUGCUUCUAUGAGCAGCAAGGUUACAAAACACAUUCUCAUAACAGUCAUAUUUAUAUGAAACUCUAGAACCCUAAACACUUGAACUUGUUGUCACUUCUUUGGGCUUCUGAAGAUUGCAUUGGGCUCCUUCUUUUGGGCUCUAAUACUCCCCCGCAAACUUAGCGUGGAUAGAGCAGCUACGCUGAGUUUGAAAGCACAGAUGGAGAUGGCUUGAGAUGAGCAUAAGUAGAUGAAGUAGGAUGCUUGAGGUGUUGGCAAAUGGCUCUACUCACCAUUGUAGACAAACAUUAGUGUGAGAUCUACUCAGACCUAUACUUGGAGAGUAUCACAUGGCUUCACUCAGAGGUUUCUCUUGAACUUGGAGAGCUUAGUUGAUCUCACUCAGAGGUGUAAUUAUGGCCUAUUUGUCUCACUAUGAAUCUAGGUUUACUUUACCUGUUUCAUUCUUCUAAUGUGUCUCAUGAAAAACUCUCUUUCCAUACCUACCAAUAAAACUAUACUCAAUCUCUGCUUCCCAUCAGUAUACUACCAAAAAACUCUGCCUCUAAACAAUCUGACUGUCUCAUUGGUAUUUCACCGAGCACCUUGUGUGCAUUAGUAUUAAAGACAGAGACUUGCAUCCAACUCCACACAUAACAAAUCCAAACAAGCCUAUCUCUUUCAACUUGUCUGUUCCAAACCUAUCUUAACCAGAAUCUAAACCAGCAUCAACUCAAUCCAGCACACGACAUAUAUAUUUUCUCAUCCACUGUUCUGUCUCAAGAAAAGAAACAGAGAUAAUACCGUGAAUAAGUGGUGAGGAAGCUGAAUAAGUCUUCAUUCUUCUCUAACUAGUUUGAGACCUGUCUGAAACUUCAACUAGAACAUCUUGUUGCAAGUGUAUUCGUCCGUUGCAGGAACAAAGACAAGAGGCAGCUCGCAUCUGGUGACAACAUGACGUUUCUUCAAACAAGGAACCAGUCUGGUCUUGUCUCGGACUUCAACAUGAAUAGGAGACUCUGAUCUGAUGAAAGCUUCGACCUUGAACUCUUUUUUUUUUCUUUUUUUUUUUAAUAGAGUUUGGUGGAAAGUUGGGAUGGCUAGACAGAGUGUGCAGAAGCUAGAAGAUGAUAGGAUAACCCAUGAGAACCGACUGAAGCUCUGAUACCAUGAUAACAUUUGAGAAUAAGAGAGAUUUGUGUUUUAGAAGAACUUAUUGAGACACAAACUAAAGAGAGAAAGACAUAGCUCAAAGAGCUUUAUUGUGCAAAGAAAUAAAGAAAGGGAGAAGCUUUGUGUUUGUCUUCAAGAACUAAAACAAAUGUUUGAUUUCAUAAAGUCUUUAAUGGAGGCUGCUUCUAUGAGCAGCAAGGUUACAAAACACAUUCUCAUAACAGUCAUAUUUAUAUGAAACUCUAGAACCCUAAACACUUGAACUUGUUGUCACUUCUUUGGGCUUCUGAAGAUUGCAUUGGGCUCCUUCUUUUGGGCUCUAAUAGGCGCAUGGCCCACAUCUCUUCCAAAUACGGGCCUCUUCCAAAUACGGUGUGGGUUGUCAGCGGUACCUUCCAAAUGCUUCCUCCUCCGUCAGUGUGGCGCGUUAUUUUUGUUGAUGUUGGAUCACUUUUCCCGAGUUGGAGCAGUUUGUGCUCCGGUCUCUUGCUCGGGUUUUUUUUCCACCAGUGGUCUCUGGUGGGUUGCAUAUAGUCGAAGGAGGAUGGCUUCUCAGCUCUCCUCACAGUUGGUUCAUGUGGCGGCAAAUUGUGGUUUUCUUCGGCUCUCCGCUUCGAAGCUCUGAGUUGCUGGCGGUGUGGCGCCCAACGCCCCUUCCUUCUCUCCAUAUUUCUACAUUUCAGGUUUGUUUGCUCGGAAGUGGACUGUAGUGGUUUGUUUUGAUAAGUGGCAGGAUGACUGUUGGGCAUUAGUCUGCGUACUCGCUUGGUGUUGGCUGCUCUGGAGGUUGUGUACCCUUCCAGUCGUUCUGUUCUAUAUGGACUUUUGGCUAAAAGGGUGUCUAGUCUCGGUUGGUGGGCUUGAAGGUGGCAAUCUUUAAUUUUCCUACCGUACGACAGCAUCGUCGGUUGGUGUCACUGCCUCGUGCCGCCGGAUGGUUAGUGUCGGAUUGGUAAGUAGGUUCAUGCUUGUGAUUCUUUGGAUUGGUUUGGGAGAAGUGGAUCCUUAGGAAGCUGUAGGCACCAUGCAUUCAAGGUUUGAGAGCGCCUUUCUCUCGGGUUCGUGGAAACUGCUUGGCCUUUUUACUCCAUUCCCGUUUCCUUGGUCUGAGCUUUCCUCGUUUUCUUUUGUUGCUUUGGCUAAUGCUUGCGUCUUACGAGUUCUUUAUCUUGUAUCGUAGCUCGUCUUUUGAUUUAAUUAUCGCUUUAUGCUACUAGUUUACUUUGUAAAAUCUGGUAAAAAUCUGAUAGUUUUGGUAUAAUAAAUUCAACAUUUUACAAAAAAAAAA
Molecule: long non-coding RNA, 9299 nt
Organism: Brassica rapa (field mustard)
Lineage: Eukaryota; Viridiplantae; Streptophyta; Magnoliopsida; Brassicales; Brassicaceae
Source: RefSeq, a predicted model, not a curated record